GCUUGCUGCGCUAGCUUCUGCUUUCCUGGUCUCCGCGGGAACGGUGGUUCUACAUGAAGCUGGGCCUACAGACCUGGGGGUGUGGGCCACCACUGCGUGCUGAAGAAACUGAGAGAGAGCGGCUGAUAGCGCGGUCACCCUCUGGAUAAGUGGACCUCUCACCCGCGUAGUUACAUCAAACCCAAGGCCCUGGCCCUGAGAAACGCACAACCACUAACUUACAUCCUGGCUCCUGGGUGUCCUCCACUGCCUGUGAGGUUCCUCUUUGUGAACUGUCCCUGUGUCCUCCCCCCUCCCCCACACCACCGUCCAGCUCCACCGUGCCAUAUAGCAGAGGGAGCCUCAGAGCACAGGCUAGACCUUGUCCCCUCUCCACCUACAGCCCUUCAGUGUCCUGGUGUCCCUUAAAUCAUCACGUGACUGGGCCUCCCCCCACCACCUCACCCUCCCAGCACACCCUCCUGCUGCCUGCUGCCUGCCCUGCUGUCUCCUUCUCCAAAUGGGCCUCAGGGCCCUUGCACAGGGCUGCCGGCCUGGAAGACUCCUCUGGCUAGAGACUCCUGCUCAGUAUUCUGGUGACAGACCUCGCUCUACUGGGACUCCCCUGUUCUCCGACCUGUUGCUCAUGGCACAGAUAUCAGUGUGUAGUUUAGA
Molecule: long non-coding RNA, 654 nt
Organism: Microtus oregoni (creeping vole)
Lineage: Eukaryota; Metazoa; Chordata; Mammalia; Rodentia; Cricetidae
Exons: 3
Source: RefSeq, a predicted model, not a curated record